CUCUCGGGGAUCGAAUUAUCAUGUCUCGUCGGGACGCGACAAUCGAUCCCCGAAUCGACGCUCUUACUCCACCAGCGGAGGUGGGAGUAAGUGCCAUCGACGGGGAGCCGUGGAGGUUGAUUUUGCCGCCGUCCUCACAGUGGGGUAAGUCGGCUCUGACAGGUCAAAUUCGAAUUUGAGUAUCCUAAAUCGACCCUCCCCCCCCCCGUACUGAAGACCUGCCCUUAGUUUGUUAGCAUUUGUAGUGUGCUGUUAAGUUGGUCAGAAGUCCUCAAGAGGGGAGGGGUGAGUGGGAUGGAAGGUGUUUAAACAGUGUUUUUGAUUUCUGCUCCAGCCUCGACUAUGAGCAUUCUAACCAAGGGACUGAAAACUUUAAGACAAUACCAGGACAGCAUUUCAUGGGAAAUCUGGGAUGUUUUCCUGACAAUACUGAAAGCUGUACGUUUAUCAUCUUGUCUUCUGAACCAGGUGAAUGUCACCCUUUGUGUUUUUAUACAGGCCUAUUUAAAACAUUAAAAGGUAACUUACAAUUUAUAUUUUAUAAAUAUAAUUAAUGUGGAUAUUAUAUAACAGUAGAUGGCAGUAGGUGAUUAUUGACAAAAUUCAAUCUACGAAACAUUCUGUUAUGGCAAUGCAUAGUUAAUGUACCUAUUACACAGGUUAAGAGGAAUUCUCAGUGCAUCAGUUUAUAAUUCACUUUUGUUUUCUCUUUAGGUUUCAUAUUGUCUGGCCGCUGUUGGACCACUGGCUUGAUUCUGCUGUGAGUCCUGUAUGCUCUGUGAUGGUGAUUGUCACAUAAGCCCAUGUGCUCUAGUCUAGAGCAUGAGAUCAGCCUCUAGGGCUAGACAUAGGACUAAGUUGUGGCAGGUUUUAAAGGAAAGGACAAAGAACUUGCAUUUGAUGCAGAAGGUGAGAGGAAACAAGUGAAGGAAUUUGCAGAUGGGCUGAAUGUGGUCAAAGCUAUAGGUGAGGUAGAUACGUUAUUCAGCUGAGUUUCGGAUGGAUUGGAGGAGUAUGAAACAGAAAACAGAGAGGAUGUGGGUACAGAUGUCAAGAAGACACAAGAUGAUCAAAACAUGGACAAGUGUUGGUGAUAGGAGAGGUGAAGAAUGAUCGGGUUUCUGACCUGUUUUGUAGAAUAAGCCAGCAUAAAUUAGUGAUAGUGACAAUGUUGGGGGAGAAGGAUAAAGUUUAAAACAGUUAUACUAGGUUGUGAGCUAGAGGGGUAGGGAGAAUGGUAACAUUGUUGAUCAUAGAAUCAUAGACUCAUAGAAUAUCAGGGUUGGAAGGGACCUCAAGAGGUCAUCUAGUCCAACCCCCUGCUCAAAGCAGGACCAAUUCCCAACUAACUAGAUAGUUAUGGAGAAUAAAGGAUAAGGGUUUUGGAAAAGAGAUAUAUAC
Molecule: long non-coding RNA, 1401 nt
Filed under: Chrysemys picta bellii (western painted turtle)
Lineage: Eukaryota; Metazoa; Chordata; Testudines; Emydidae
Description: lncRNA (ENSCPBG00000028403.1)
Source: RNAcentral